UACGAAGGGGGCUAGCGUUGUUCGGAAUUACUGGGCGUAAAGCGCACGUAGGCUGAUUGUUAAGUCAGGGGUGAAAUCCCGGAGCUCAACUCCGGAACUGCCUUUGAUACUGGCAAUCCCGAGUCCGGAAGAGGUUAGUGGAAUUCCUAGUGUAGAGGUGAAAUUCGUAGAUAUUAAGAAGGACACCAGUGGCGAAGGCGGCUAACUGGUCCGGUACUGACGCUGAGGUGCGAAAGCGUGGGGAGCAAGCAGG
RNAcentral lists this ribosomal RNA (253 nucleotides) under uncultured bacterium. RNAcentral describes it as "partial 16S ribosomal RNA". It matches the Rfam family "Bacterial small subunit ribosomal RNA", at positions 524 to 776 of the family's 1533-position model. The record is from RNAcentral.